GGGAGGAAGUGUCAUUUUACAGCCUCUCCACCUUUAACGGCUUACUUGUUCAGGAAUAAAGAGCAACUCAGAGCCUUCAGCAAGAAACAGGAUUUUAUUAGGCUCAAAGAAUCUUAUUUGGCUUUCCUUGUAUUUCAUUUUAUGGUGACUUCCUCCUUAUGGGAAAUGAUAGUGGUUUCCCAUUUGAGGUGAGAAAACCAGGUGUCAGACGGCAGAAGUAGCCCACGCAGGGUCACACAGCAAGUCUGGGGUUUGAACCCAGCUGGGAGGCGGAGGGAGCCCGGAUCCGCCCCCUCCAACUGGAGUUGCAGCUGAGCUGCUGAGUCAUCUGAGCCCGGCCCUGCCUGCCUUCCUUCCUGCCUGCUCCCUGAGGCCCUGAAGCCACCAGGGCCAGGGAAGGAAGGGGAUUAUGUGUGUUCAAUCCAGG
Molecule: long non-coding RNA, 427 nt
Filed under: Equus caballus (horse)
Lineage: Eukaryota; Metazoa; Chordata; Mammalia; Perissodactyla; Equidae
Description: lncRNA (ENSECAG00000046939.1)
Source: RNAcentral